Molecule: ribosomal RNA, 30 nt
Filed under: Pythium adhaerens
Lineage: Eukaryota; Oomycota; Peronosporomycetes; Pythiales; Pythiaceae
Description: partial large subunit ribosomal RNA
Source: RNAcentral
CAAUUGGACCUGAUAUCAGGUAAGAUUACC